Molecule: long non-coding RNA, 1320 nt
Filed under: Helianthus annuus (common sunflower)
Lineage: Eukaryota; Viridiplantae; Streptophyta; Magnoliopsida; Asterales; Asteraceae
Description: hypothetical non coding rna
Source: RNAcentral
UUCUUGUAUAGUGGAAGAGGUUUUAGGGUUCUUUAUCCAUAUCGAACCGUCACUCACACACAUUUCACUAUCUUUUCUGAAACCCACCAGACCACUAUGUUCGCAGCCCUCCGGUGAACCACUGUGAAUCGCCAUUCCAUGUAAGUGCAAAAUCAAACUUCAGUUUGAACAAAGAAGGGAUUUGGGUGAUGGUUAUGUAAUUUCUAAGGGGGGCAAAAUCAAACACUGAUUUCAACAGAAGGAAAAAAUUAUCGCAUGUAACUCUUAUGUUGAGUUGAGAGAUGGGGACGACGACAAUAUGGCAGGUGCUAAACUAAUAGAACCGACAAUUUGCUGUAAUGGGUAUCGUUUUCUAUAUCCAAGUUGAAUUGGUUGAUUUUUCGAUGGAUUUGUUUGUGGCAGUGAUGAUUUAUGCAGGUUGAUGUCUCCUUGGUGGAUUUGGUUGUAGUGGUUUUUGUUUUUUGCAGUUUUCCCAACAACGCCAUUGCUGAUUUGGUCAUCAUCCCUCCAAGUUGUUUAAUUGAUUAGAUCUUCAUCCGGCCAACAAAACUGUUCUUACUUCUUUAUCACAUGCUCACAUCCGUCUACAACUUCAUCGACAAGUUUUCUACAACUGAACUUUUCAAUCAUCUAUUGAAGCUGGUACUUUGUUGGAGAGAGUAGACGCGUUUGAUGUGAAUGGGAACUCGGGUUUGAUUUCUAAUUUGUGGACGGAUCAGAAGGCCGGUGUUUCAUUUGCACAUCUUUAUGGGUAUGCAUCAAUAUUCCUCAAGCUCAAAAGAGUUCUUUGUUUUUUGGCAUGACGAAUAAGGUGUGGAGUUACAAAUGGGGAGCGACUUGAAGAGAUCAGUUGAUGUGUAUGUAUUUCGAAAUGGGGAGUGAUUUGAAGACCUGGGUAUUAGAUAAGUUGAUGCCCGUCUUGGGAUAUUCGCAACCCGCCUUGGUUCAACAUGUGUUUACUUUAUCUAAGAAAGCUUCAUCUCCUGAUGAUGUAUAUAAUAAUCUUAAAGACAUGGGGGGUGUCAUCUUCUAACAACACACGCAUUUGGUGAAGAAAUAUUCCAGAAGGUUGAAUAUAAGAGAUCUGAAUCAAAUUUGUUACAGUGAUUGACUUCCUGACAAAGAACCGGAGGAGUUAUAGCAUCAUCUAAAGAAAAAAAAAAGAUGCCGCCAGGAUGAUAAAAGUCUACUUUUAGUGAUCAUCGUUUAAUCAAUCUAAUUUUAAUAUGAAUUGAUUUUUGGUUUUUCAAGAAUUUAUGAAUUGAUUCCAAUUAUGAUUCCCUAAUCCUAUUUAAUAUGAAUUUAAUGUUUGGUUAUUUC